RNAcentral lists this ribosomal RNA (468 nucleotides) under uncultured bacterium. RNAcentral describes it as "partial 16S ribosomal RNA". It matches the Rfam family "Bacterial small subunit ribosomal RNA", at positions 28 to 507 of the family's 1533-position model. The record is from RNAcentral.
GACGAACGCUGGCGGCGUGCUUAACACGUGCAAGUCGAACGGAAAGGCCCUGCUUUUGUGGGGUGCUCGAGUGGCGAACGGGUGAGUAACACGUGAGUAACCUGCCCUUGACUUUGGGAUAACUUCAGGAAACUGGGGCUAAUACCGGAUAGGAGCUCCUGCUGCAUGGUGGGGGUUGGAAAGUUUCGGCGGUUGGGGAUGGACUCGCGGCUUAUCAGCUUGUUGGUGGGGUAGUGGCUUACCAAGGCUUUGACGGGUAGCCGGCCUGAGAGGGUGACCGGCCACAUUGAGACUGAGAUACGGCCCAGACUCCUACGGGAGGCAGCAGUGGGGAAUAUUGCACAAUGGGCGGAAGCCUGAUGCAGCAACGCCGCGUGCGGGAUGACGGCCUUCGGGUUGUAAACCGCUUUCGCCUGUGACGAAGCGUGAGUGACGGUAAUGGGUAAAGAAGCACCGGCUAACUACGUG